UAGCUAUGUGUGGACGGGAUAAGUGCUGAAAGCAUCUAAGCAUGAAGCCCCCCUCAAGAUGAGAUUUCCCAACUUCGGUUAUAAGAUCCCUCAAAGAUGAUGAGGUUAAUAGGUUCGAGGUGGAAGCAUGGUGACAUGUGGAGCUGACGAAUACUAAUCGAUCGAAGACUUAAUCAAAAUAAAUGUUUUGCGAAGCAAAAUCACUUUUACUUACUAUCUAGUUUUGAAUGUAUAAAUUACAUUCAUAUGUCUGGUGACUAUAGCAAGGAGGUCACACCUGUUCCCAUGCCGAACACAGAAGUUAAGCUCCUUAGCGUCGAUGGUAGUCGAACUUACGUUCCGCUAGAGUAGAACGUUGCCAGGCAGUUUUUUAAUCAAAUUUUGGUUAAAAAAUAAAAUGGACAAGAUAAAAAAAGUUAUUGACUUAAAUGUUGAUAAAAUGUAUAAUUAAUUCUUGUCGGUAAGAAAAAUGAACAUUGAAAACUGAAUGACAAUAUGUCAACGUUAAUUCCAAAAAACGUAACUAUAAGUUACAAACAUUAUUUAGUAUUUAUGAGCUAAUCAAACAUCAUAAUUUUUAUGGAGAGUUUGAUCCUGGCUCAGGAUGAACGCUGGCGGCGUGCCUAAUACAUGCAAGUCGAGCGAACGGACGAGAAGCUUGCUUUUCUGAUGUUAGCGGCGGACGGGUGAGUAACACGUGGAUAACCUACCUAUAAGACUGGGAUAACUUCGGGAAACCGGAGCUAAUACCGGAUAAUAUUUUGAACCGCAUGGUUCAAAAGUGAAAGACGGUCUUGCUGUCACUUAUAGAUGGAUCCGCGCUGCAUUAGCUAGUUGGUAAGGUAACGGCUUACCAAGGCAACGAUGCAUAGCCGACCUGAGAGGGUGAUCGGCCACACUGGAACUGAGACACGGUCCAGACUCCUACGGGAGGCAGCAGUAGGGAAUCUUCCGCAAUGGGCGAAAGCCUGACGGAGCAACGCCGCGUGAGUGAUGAAGGUCUUCGGAUCGUAAAACUCUGUUAUUAGGGAAGAACAUAUGUGUAAGUAACUGUGCACAUCUUGACGGUACCUAAUCAGAAAGCCACGGCUAACUACGUGCCAGCAGCCGCGGUAAUACGUAGGUGGCAAGCGUUAUCCGGAAUUAUUGGGCGUAAAGCGCGCGUAGGCGGUUUUUUAAGUCUGAUGUGAAAGCCCACGGCUCAACCGUGGAGGGUCAUUGGAAACUGGAAAACUUGAGUGCAGAAGAGGAAAGUGGAAUUCCAUGUGUAGCGGUGAAAUGCGCAGAGAUAUGGAGGAACACCAGUGGCGAAGGCGACUUUCUGGUCUGUAACUGACGCUGAUGUGCGAAAGCGUGGGGAUCAAACAGGAUUAGAUACCCUGGUAGUCCACGCCGUAAACGAUGAGUGCUAAGUGUUAGGGGGUUUCCGCCCCUUAGUGCUGCAGCUAACGCAUUAAGCACUCCGCCUGGGGAGUACGACCGCAAGGUUGAAACUCAAAGGAAUUGACGGGGACCCGCACAAGCGGUGGAGCAUGUGGUUUAAUUCGAAGCAACGCGAAGAACC
This 1564-nucleotide ribosomal RNA is filed under the name Staphylococcus aureus. Lineage: Bacteria; Bacillati; Bacillota; Bacilli; Caryophanales; Staphylococcaceae. The record is from RNAcentral.